GGGUUGUCAUGCCAAUGGCAUUGCCCGGUAGCUACGUUCGGAACUGAUAAGCGCUGAAAGCAUCUAAGCGCGAAGCAGGCCUCGAGAUGAGUUCUCACUAGACUUUUAAAGUCUCUGAAGGGCCGUUAAAGACUACAACGUUGAUAGGCAAGAUGUGGAAGUGGUGUGAGCCAUUAAGCUAACUUGUACUAAUUACCCGUGAGGCUUAACCAUACAACGCCAAACGCGUUU
This 231-nucleotide ribosomal RNA is filed under the name Pseudoalteromonas sp. 5Ae-yellow. RNAcentral's name for it is "partial 23S ribosomal RNA". It matches the Rfam family "Bacterial large subunit ribosomal RNA", at positions 2718 to 2925 of the family's 2925-position model. The record is from RNAcentral. Lineage: Bacteria; Pseudomonadati; Pseudomonadota; Gammaproteobacteria; Alteromonadales; Pseudoalteromonadaceae.